GUUUGAAUCCUGGCUCAGGAUGAACGCUGGCGGCGUGCUUAACACAUGCAAGUCGAACGGUGAACCAGGAGCUUGCUCUGUUGGAUCAGUGGCGAACGGGUGAGUAACACGUGAGCAACCUGCCCCUGACUCUGGGAUAAGCGCUGGAAACGGCGUCUAAUACUGGAUAUGUGACGUGACCGCAUGGUCUGCGUUUGGAAAGAUUUUUCGGUUGGGGAUGGGCUCGCGGCCUAUCAGCUUGUUGGUGAGGUAAUGGCUCACCAAGGCGUCGACGGGUAGCCGGCCUGAGAGGGUGACCGGCCACACUGGGACUGAGACACGGCCCAGACUCCUACGGGAGGCAGCAGUGGGGAAUAUUGCACAAUGGGCGAAAGCCUGAUGCAGCAACGCCGCGUGAGGGAUGACGGCCUUCGGGUUGUAAACCUCUUUUAGCAGGGAAGAAGCGAAAGUGACGGUACCUGCAGAAAAAGCGCCGGCUAACUACGUGCCAGCAGCCGCGGUAAUACGUAGGGCGCAAGCGUUAUCCGGAAUUAUUGGGCGUAAAGAGCUCGUAGGCGGUUUGUCGCGUCUGCUGUGAAAUCCCGAGGCUCAACCUCGGGCCUGCAGUGGGUACGGGCAGACUAGAGUGCGGUAGGGGAGAUUGGAAUUCCUGGUGUAGCGGUGGAAUGCGCAGAUAUCAGGAGGAACACCGAUGGCGAAGGCAGAUCUCUGGGCCGUAACUGACGCUGAGGAGCGAAAGGGUGGGGAGCAAACAGGCUUAGAUACCCUGGUAGUCCACCCCGUAAACUUUCGGGAACUAGUUGUGGGGUCCAUUCUCACGGAUUCCUUGACGCAUCUAACGCAUUCCGUUCCCCGCCUGGGGAGUACGGCCGCAAGGCUAAAACUCAAAGGAAUUGACGGGGACCCGCACAAGCGGCGGAGCAUGCGGAUUAAUUCGAUGCAACGCGAAGAACCUUACCAAGGCUUGACAUAUACGAGAACGGGCCAGAAAUGGUCAACUCUUUGGACACUCGUAAACAGGUGGUGCAUGGUUGUCGUCAGCUCGUGUCGUGAGAUGUUGGGUUAAGUCCCGCAACGAGCGCAACCCUCGUUCUAUGUUGCCAGCACGUAAUGGUGGGAACUCAUGGGAUACUGCCGGGGUCAACUCGGAGGAAGGUGGGGAUGACGUCAAAUCAUCAUGCCCCUUAUGUCUUGGGCUUCACGCAUGCUACAAUGGCCGGUACAAAGGGCUGCAAUACCGUGAGGUGGAGCGAAUCCCAAAAAGCCGGUCC
This 1271-nucleotide ribosomal RNA is filed under the name Microbacterium sp. BAB-5415. RNAcentral describes it as "bacterial SSU rRNA". It matches the Rfam family "Bacterial small subunit ribosomal RNA", at positions 11 to 1288 of the family's 1533-position model. Lineage: Bacteria; Bacillati; Actinomycetota; Actinomycetes; Micrococcales; Microbacteriaceae. The record is from RNAcentral.